GACGAACGCUGGCGGCGUGCUUAACACAUGCAAGUCGAACGGAAAGGCCCUGCUUUUGUGGGGUGCUCGAGUGGCGAACGGGUGAGUAACACGUGAGUAACCUGCCCUUGACUUUGGGAUAACUUCAGGAAACUGGGGCUAAUACCGGAUAGGAGCUCCUGCUGCAUGGUGGGGGUUGGAAAGUUUCGGCGGUUGGGGAUGGACUCGCGGCUUAUCAGCUUGUUUGUGGGGUAGUGGCUUACCAAGGCUUUGACGGGUAGCCGGCCUGAGAGGGUGACCGGCCACAUUGGGACUGAGGUACGGCCCAGACUCCUACGGGAGGCAGCAGUGGGGAAUAUUGCACAAUGGGCGGAAGCCUGAUGCAGCAACGCCGCGUGCGGGAUGACGGCCUUCGGGUUGUAAACCGCCUUCGCCUGUGACGAAGCGUGAGUGACGGUAAUGGGUAAAGAAGCACCGGCUAACUACGUG
RNAcentral lists this ribosomal RNA (468 nucleotides) under uncultured bacterium. RNAcentral's name for it is "partial 16S ribosomal RNA". It matches the Rfam family "Bacterial small subunit ribosomal RNA", at positions 28 to 507 of the family's 1533-position model. The record is from RNAcentral.